This 418-nucleotide unclassified non-coding RNA is filed under the name Hevea brasiliensis (rubber tree). Lineage: Eukaryota; Viridiplantae; Streptophyta; Magnoliopsida; Malpighiales; Euphorbiaceae. The record is from RNAcentral.
UUUUGCUAUAUGAUUGUCCUAGUUUUAUAUAUCAUUACUAAUUAAGUUACUGAGAGCAUUAUUGGAUUUGGAUGUUAUGGGUGUUUGAUCUUCUUUUAUUUGCUGAUGGCUUUAAUACUCACUUUUGGGCACAAUACUUUCACCUGAGCAGUCUGCUUGAUAUUCUCCAUUGGCACUAGAUGCAGUUUGUUUGGGACAAUGCUAAGGUAUUAGAGAACUAAUUUGGCUUUAUGCUUGGUAGAUUUACAAUAGAGCCUUUCUUUUUGUUAAGAAAAUUAAUGAAAAUUUAUAGGGAGAGGAAGAAGAAUCUCCGUUUGGUAUUCAUUGAUAUAGAAAAGGCAUAUGAUAAAAUAUCGAGGGGAGUUUUUUGGGUGGGUGCUAGAAAAGAAAGGAGUCAAUCUCAAAUGUAUAAAUGUCA